AAAUUGAAGAGUUUGAUCAUGGCUCAGAUUGAACGCUGGCGGCAGGCCUAACACAUGCAAGUCGAACGGUAACAGGAAGAAGCUUGCUUCUUCGCUGACGAGUGGCGGACGGGUGAGUAAUGUCUGGGAAACUGCCUGAUGGAGGGGGAUAACUACUGGAAACGGUAGCUAAUACCGCAUAACGUCGCAAGACCAAAGAGGGGGACCUUCGGGCCUCUUGCCAUCGGAUGUGCCCAGAUGGGAUUAGCUAGUAGGUGGGGUAACGGCUCACC
This 272-nucleotide ribosomal RNA is filed under the name Escherichia coli. RNAcentral's name for it is "partial 16S ribosomal RNA". It matches the Rfam family "Bacterial small subunit ribosomal RNA", at positions 1 to 269 of the family's 1533-position model. The record is from RNAcentral. Lineage: Bacteria; Pseudomonadati; Pseudomonadota; Gammaproteobacteria; Enterobacterales; Enterobacteriaceae.